Macadamia integrifolia is the source of this 587-nucleotide long non-coding RNA. RefSeq lists it as uncharacterized. The transcript has 2 exons. Lineage: Eukaryota; Viridiplantae; Streptophyta; Magnoliopsida; Proteales; Proteaceae. The record is from RefSeq and is a predicted model, not a curated record.
UUACGGAUACAGGUGAAGUAACCCUUUCCUUCUGAAAAUUUUGUUUGAUUUGCGAAAAGUUAGCAGAGAUGGUGAGGGGGAAGACGCAAAUGAAACGAAUCGAGAACGCUACCAGCAGGCAAGUUACCUUCUCCAAGCGUCGGAGUGGCCUCCUCAAGAAGGCCUUCGAGCUCUCGGUUCUCUGCGAUGCCGAAGUGGCGCUCAUCGUCUUCUCCCCCAGGGGAAAACUCUAUGAGUUCUCCAACUGCGGGUACGCUCCUCCUAAUCAUAUCUCUCUCUCUCUAUCUAUCUAAUAUUCACAUUCUCAUGAUUCCAUCGCUCCUGCAAAUCUAUCUUUCCAAAUUGAUAAGCUUCUUAUUUUCUUGAUUUUCGUUUCUGGUUUGUACUGUUGAGUGUUGAUCACGCUUUCUACUUCUGAAAGCGUGAUCCAGUUCUGAUCAAUCCCACUGGCUUCUUACAUAAAUGGCAGACAUUUUUUAUGCUUUUCAUGCUAUCUUCUGUAGAAUCCUCUUCCGCAAUUCGCUCGCAUUAAUUUGAUUAUAUACGGAAUUAUGGAUCAACGCCAUUGCAGUGUUUUCGUACUAAAA